This 959-nucleotide long non-coding RNA is filed under the name Salvia miltiorrhiza (redroot sage). Its description in RNAcentral is "long non-coding RNA (SMIL_LNC012689)". The record is from RNAcentral. Lineage: Eukaryota; Viridiplantae; Streptophyta; Magnoliopsida; Lamiales; Lamiaceae.
CUGGAAAUCAGGAAAAUUCGAAAAUAAAUAAAUAAAUAAACUGAAAAUUCAGAAAAUAAAUAAAUUAACUGGAAAUAAUUAAAUAAAUAAAUAAAUAAACUGGAAAUAAAUAAACUGAAAAUUCAAAAAUAAAUAAAUAAACUGGAAAUCAGGAAAAUAAAUAAAUAAACUGGAAAUAAAUAAAUAAAUAAACAAACUGGAAAUAAAUAAACUGAAAAUACAAAAAUAAAUAAAUAAAUAAACUUGAAAUUCAGAAAAUAAAUAAAUAAAUAAACUGAAAAUUCAGAAAAUAAAUAAAUAAAUAAACUGGAAAUAAAUAAUCUGGAAAAUAAUUAAACUGAAAAUUCGAAAAUAAAUAAAUAAAUAAAUAAACUGGAAAUAAAUAAAUAAAUAAACUGGAAAUAAAUAAACUGAAAAUUCAAAAAUAAAUAAAUAAAUAGACUUGAAAAUUCAGAAAAUAAAUAAAUAAACUGGAAAUAAAAUUUUCAGAAAAUAAAUAAAUUGAAAAUUCAGAAAAUAAAUAAAUAAACUGAAAAAUUCGAAAUAUACUACUCCAUUUAAUUAACUUCAAAAUUGGAUUAAUUAGACAAGUAAUGGUAAAGUGUGGUGGGUCCAAUUGAUAAAGUGUAGUAAUUUAAAAAGUAAGGGAGGGUAUAUAUGUCCAAAAAGCAGAGUAGGAAGUUAAUUGGUGGACAAAAUUUUAGAGGCAAACAGGAAGAUGAUUCGUGGACGGAGGGAGUAAGAAAAUAAGACACCAACACAUGCCCAGCUGGAUUUCAGCCCCACCCCUACCACAUUCCAUCAAUACUAUAACCUAUCUUUCUCGCUUUAUUACGAGGAUGUAUAUUGGUAAAAUAAAAAUAAAUAAAAAUAAAAAAAUUAAGUCUUUAUGGAAUAUUCAAGUAGUAAAGACAUUUUUUAAAUCAUACCGUAAUUCUUAUUCAUCAAAUGAAAAAAAU